AUGAAUAAAAACGUUCAGACACCAGGCAUCCAUGGUGUGAGGCGGGAAGUCCCCAGGCGCCUGCACAGCCAACCGUACCACCACCUCCCCUCCCUCCCCUCUCCCCUGCUGUCUCACCUUUGCCGCCAGCUUUUUGGGUUUCGGCUCUGCUUUGGCAGGAGCGGGUUUCUGAGGAGACAACAACGCGUCAGGGCCCGGCCGCCAGCAGCCGCCGGCCCUCCCCUCGCCCCUGCAGGGGCUGCCUCCCACCUCGCGCCCCUACUCACAGCAGACAGCCGCGCCGACCGCCUCUUGGGCUGCGGGGAGAGAAGCACAAAGACCCGCGGCGUCAGAGCCGGCACCGCGACCACCCCCCAACCCCGUUCACCCCCCCCAUACACAACUCACCUCCUCCGCGGCCUCCCCUGCGGCCGCGCUCACCUGCCAACACAAACACCGCGCGUCAGGCGCCGGGGGGCGGGGCGCGGCCACACGUCACGUGACACCGCCCCCCCCUCACCCCCGUUACCCCCCCUCACACACACACACCCUCCCCCUCUCCCCGGGCCCACUANNNNNNNNNNNNNNNNNNNNNNNNNNGGGGGGGGGGGGGGGUUGGGGUCGCUCCGCUCCUCCCUCAGCCGCCUCUCCGCGCCCCGCAGCCCCCCCCCAGCCCUUUUCUCCCCCCCCCAUCGCUUCACCUUUCUCUUCGGCAUGGCUCCAGCCGCAGCCCCGCGGUGCCCGCUCCCUCCCUCCCUCCCUUAUUCUUUCGUUCCCCUUCCCCGCUGCGCGCCGGGUGCCUCACGGCGAGCCGCUGCGGCCGCCCGCCCGCCAGCCGCGCCGCGCAGGGAAGCCGCCCCCCCCCAUCCCAGCAGCGCCAGCGGCGCCGCAACAGGAUCCAGCCGGAUUGGAGGCGGCGGCAGGAGGCAGGCGGGUAGGUCGGGGGGGGGGGGUAAGGAGGAGGGGGGCGCCCCGCUCCGCUCCGCUCCGCGCCCUGCCCUGCCCUGCCCUGCCCGCCGGGCUGACCCGGCCCUCCCGCGGGGCGCCCCUCAGCGCCUCCCGCCGGGUGCGCGAGCGGGCUGA
This 1062-nucleotide long non-coding RNA is filed under the name Cairina moschata (Muscovy duck). Its description in RNAcentral is "domestica (muscovy Duck (domestic type)) lncRNA (ENSCMMG00000006373.1)". Lineage: Eukaryota; Metazoa; Chordata; Aves; Anseriformes; Anatidae. The record is from RNAcentral.